GAUGAACGCUGGCGGCGUGCUUAACACAUGCAAGUCGAACGGAAAGGCCCUGCUUUUGUGGGUUGCUCGAGUGGCGAACGGGUGUGUAACACGUGAGUAUCCUGCCCUUGACUUUGGGAUAACUUCAGGAAACUGGGGCUAAUACCGGAUAUGAGCUCCUGCUGCAUGGUGGUGGUUGGAAAGUUUCGGCGGUUGGGGCUCGACUCGCAGGUUAUCAGCUUGUUGGUGGGGUAGUUGCUUACCAAGCCUGCGACGGAUAGCCGGCCUGGGAGGGUGGACGGGGACCAGGGGCCUGCGAGAGGGCGCAGUCUGCAACGGUAGGCAGUAGGGGGAAGCAUGACGGAAUAGGGGGAAGCGAGAUACGAAGAUGUCGCGUGCGUAAAAACCGGCUAUGAGUGAAAAACAGCUUUCGACGGAGACGAGGAGGGAGUGACGGUAAUUAGUAAAGAAGCAACGGCUAACUACGUG
Molecule: ribosomal RNA, 468 nt
Filed under: uncultured bacterium
Lineage: Bacteria
Description: partial 16S ribosomal RNA
Rfam family: Bacterial small subunit ribosomal RNA
Source: RNAcentral